RNAcentral lists this ribosomal RNA (429 nucleotides) under Triticum aestivum (bread wheat). RNAcentral describes it as "partial small subunit ribosomal RNA". Lineage: Eukaryota; Viridiplantae; Streptophyta; Magnoliopsida; Poales; Poaceae. The record is from RNAcentral.
AUGAUCGCGGCAAGAUCAUUGUCGUGGAGUCCUGGAGAGCGUGCGGUCUGUUUGGCUAUGGGGGAGAACGGAGGUGCUGCACAUACGCAUGACGUCGAUGACCUGAAAGGAGAAACUACUCCAUCUGAUUAUUUUGGACUAGAUGCAUCCACCGGAGACCUGCGUUUGGAUCAAACUGAACCAACACCAUGCAGCAAGAACACGACCGGCACUCAGACGAUUGAUGCGGAUCACACGGACAAGGAAAAGGGCAGCAAACCAGUGGAAGGCGCUGAAACAGACAAAGUGUUCUGGUGGAGGAGGAGGGAUGGACAAGACGGCAAAGGAACAGAGAAGGGAAGCCAUUCAGAACAGGAGUGGACGGAAGCCCGGGGGCGAUCGAGAACGGAAGAUGCAGUCAAACUCAAGUUGUGUUCGAACCAGCUGUAG